UACGUAGGGUGCGAGCGUUAAUCGGAAUUACUGGGCGUAAAGCGUGCGCAGGCGGGCUUCUAAGUCAGACGUGAAAUCCCCGGGCUUAACCUGGGAAUGGCGUUUGGGACUGGGAGUCUGGAGUGCGGCAGAGGAGACUGGAAUUCCUGGUGUAGCAGUGAAAUGCGUAGAUAUCAGGAGGAACACCAAUGGCGAAGGCAGGUCUCUGGACAGUUCCUGACACUGAGGCACGAAGGCCAGGGGAGCAAACGGG
This 253-nucleotide ribosomal RNA is filed under the name uncultured bacterium. RNAcentral describes it as "partial 16S ribosomal RNA". It matches the Rfam family "Bacterial small subunit ribosomal RNA", at positions 524 to 776 of the family's 1533-position model. The record is from RNAcentral.